Molecule: long non-coding RNA, 1425 nt
Filed under: Sarcophilus harrisii (Tasmanian devil)
Lineage: Eukaryota; Metazoa; Chordata; Mammalia; Dasyuromorphia; Dasyuridae
Description: lncRNA (ENSSHAG00000025677.1)
Source: RNAcentral
GCUGCCGUGUCUAGGGAGGAUAUGCCUUCCCAGGGAUGGCUGAGAUUCUGAAAGGAUCACAGAGCACUGGGGAAUACGGUUUCUUUUUUUUAAAUUUUUUUUUAAAUUUUAUGACUUUUUAUUUACAAGUUACAUGUGUGGGUAAUUUUUCAGCCUUGACAAUUGCAAAACCUUCUGUUCCAAUUUUUCCCCUCCCCCCUCCCCCUCCCCCAGAUGGCAGCUAGGCCCAUACAUGUUAAAUAUGUUAAAGUAUAAGUUAAACACAAUAUAAGUACACAUGUCCUAACAGUUAUUUUGCUGCAGAAAAAGAAUCGGGCUCCGACAUAGUGUACAGUUAAUCUGUGAAGGAAAUCAAAAAUGCAGGUGGGCAAAAAUAGAGGGAUUGGGAAUUCUAUGUAAUGGUUUUUAGUCAUUUCCCAGAGUUCCUUCCCUGGGCGUAGCUGGUUCAGUUCCUUACUGCUCUGUUGGAACUGGUUUGUUUCAUCUCAUUGCUGAGGAUGGCCACGUCCAUCAGAAUUGAUCAUCAUAUAGUAUUGUUGUUAAAGUACAUAAUGAUCUCCUGGUCCUGCUCACUUCCCUCAGCAUCAGUUCAUGUAAGUCUUGCCAGGCCUCUCUGUAUUCAUCCUGCUGGUCAUUUCUUACCGAACAAUAAUAUUCCUUAACAUUCAUAUACCACAAUUUAUUCAGCCAUUGGAAAUAGUGUCUUAAAUGGACCACAACCCGCUUCAAUGUGGCCACCAGAGGAUGGUAAGGAGGUCUUGGACGUCAGGUGUGGCAGGCAGAGGAAGGGACAAACAUUCUCCCCUUUGGAAGAGGGCUCUGAAAAAGGAGAUCAACUUAGUCCCUGGUCUCACCCUGUCCAGGGUGGGACUCUGGGCCACACUGAUGGAUACAAGAGCCUUCUCCCUGCCGGGCUCAGGAUCUCUUUCCCUGCUCACCACACUCCCGAUACCUCUGUCAGAAAGGAGCUUUGUCCCGUCAGCGGCAGAAACCGACUGUGGUAAGUGGGGACGGGUGGGUGAGAACAGGAUAGGGGGGUAAUAGCAUUUAAGUACCUCCUUUAAAAGCGAUUUGUUCUUUUAUUUUGGGGAUAGAUUUCUGCGAUUAGAAUAUUAGCCCGGACUCCCAGGUACUGGGAGAAAAGGGGGCCCUCAGUGCUCAGACUUUUUAAUCUUGUUUUGCAGUUUUUCUUUGCACUCUUUACUGACAAAACACCUCGAAGGAAUUUUACUCAGAGUUUGUGUUUUUGUGAGUUCUCCGAGUGAGUUCUCAUCUCCUUCCAUUGCUGAGAUAAUUGGUUAAGUGACUUACCCAGAGUCACACAGCCUUAAGUAUUUUUUUUUUUACAUUUUUUUUUUUUUAUUUAAUAGCCUUUUAUUUACAGGAUUUAUACAUGGGUAACUUUACAGCAUUAACAAUUGCCAA